RNAcentral lists this ribosomal RNA (341 nucleotides) under uncultured eukaryote. RNAcentral's name for it is "partial 18S ribosomal RNA". It matches the Rfam family "Eukaryotic small subunit ribosomal RNA", at positions 1470 to 1796 of the family's 1831-position model. The record is from RNAcentral.
CCCUUAGAUGUUCUGGGCCGCACGCGCGCUACACUGACGAAUUCAACGAGCUUUUACUAUAUUUGUAGUAAAUUCCUUUAUCGGAAGAUAUGGGUAAUCUUUAAAUGUUUGUCGUGAUGGGGCUAGAUUUUUGCAAUUAUUAAUCUCCAACGAGGAAUUCCUAGUAAACGCAAGUCAUCAGCUUGCAUUGAAUACGUCCCUGCCCUUUGUACACACCGCCCGUCGCUCCUACCGAUCGAAGAGUUAGGUGAAUUGUUUUGAUCGAUAAGAUUUGACUAUGGUCAACUCUCGUUGUGAAAUUCUGUGAAUCUGACUGUUUAGAGGAAGGAAAAGUCGUAACA